This 492-nucleotide ribosomal RNA is filed under the name uncultured bacterium. RNAcentral describes it as "partial 16S ribosomal RNA". It matches the Rfam family "Bacterial small subunit ribosomal RNA", at positions 29 to 507 of the family's 1533-position model. The record is from RNAcentral.
AGUGAACGCUGGCGGUAGGCCUAACACAUGCAAGUCGAACGGCAGCACAGUAAGAGCUUGCUCUUACGGGUGGCGAGUGGCGGACGGGUGAGGAAUACAUCGGAAUCUACUUUUUCGUGGGGGAUAACGUAGGGAAACUUACGCUAAUACCGCAUACGACCUACGGGUGAAAGCAGGGGAUCUUCGGACCUUGCGCGAUUGAAUGAGCCGAUGUCGGAUUAGCUAGUUGGCGGGGUAAAGGCCCACCAAGGCGACGAUCCGUAGCUGGUCUGAGAGGAGGACCAGCCACAGUGGAACUGAGACACGGACCAGACUCCUACGGGGGGCAGCAGUGGGGAAUUUUGGACAAUGGGCGAAAGCCUGACCCAGCAAUCCCGCGUGGGUGAAGAAGGCCUUCGGGUUGUAAAGCCCUUUUGUGGGGAAAGAAAACCAGGGGGUUAAUCCCCGGGUGUUAUGACGGUACCAAAAGAAUAAGCACCGGCAACCUUCGUG